ACCAUGUCGAAUAAAGUUCUAGAUGGGUUAUGAUGAUGACAUUUCCUAUCUAUGUGUCUUGACCAAAUUACGUGCCAGCAGUCGCGGUAAUACGUAGAAGACUAGUGUUAUUCAUCUUUAAUAGGUUUAAAGGGUACCUAGACGGUAAAUCAAGUCUGAAAAAGAUACUAAUUUACUAGAGUUUAAUGUGAGGGGGCACUAAAGUACUGAUAAGUGUAGAGAUGAAAUUCUGUGAUACAAUAUACGGCACUGGUAAAGGCGAAAGCAUCUCAUUAUGUAAUAACUGACGUUGAGGGACGAAGGCUAGGUGUAGCAAAAAGGAUUAGAUACCCAAGUAGUCUUAGCAGAAAAUUAUGAAUGUCAUAGGAUGGAAUAAUAAACAAAAAUUUUUUUUCUAUAAAUGAAAGUGUAAGCAUUCCACCUCGAGAGUAAUUUGGCAACAUUGGAACUGAAAUCAUUAGACCGUUUCUGAAACAAGUAGUGAAGUAUGUUGUUUAAUUUGAUAGUCCGCAAAAAACCUUACCACAAUUUGAAUAGAAAAUUUUCUUUCAUCCAAGCGCUGCACGGUUGUCUUCAGUUAAUGUCGUGAGA
Molecule: ribosomal RNA, 591 nt
Filed under: Rinodina exigua
Lineage: Eukaryota; Fungi; Ascomycota; Lecanoromycetes; Caliciales; Physciaceae
Description: SSU rRNA
Rfam family: Bacterial small subunit ribosomal RNA
Source: RNAcentral